This 350-nucleotide long non-coding RNA is filed under the name Capsicum annuum. RNAcentral's name for it is "long non-coding RNA (CANN_LNC015651)". Lineage: Eukaryota; Viridiplantae; Streptophyta; Magnoliopsida; Solanales; Solanaceae. The record is from RNAcentral.
AUUAGCCACGUAUAAUGGAUCACUUUUAGAAGUGUAGAAUGUGUUGCAUUCUAGAAUCUUAAGGUUAAGAUAUCUCGACAGGGACAAGAACAUCAUCAAGAGUUUUUGUAGAGUCAACAUCAUGGUAUGGAACAAUUCGCGAGACCCAUUUCAUGGAUGAAGACUAGGAAAUAGUUUUGGAUUUUGGGAGUGAUUUGGAGUUGGUGAUGUUUUCUUAUUUAUAGAGGAUUUUGAGAAUUAAGAAGGUUUAGAAUGGAGAAAAGAAGAAGACAUGGAAAUGGAUCUUUUAACAAUGCUUGGACCCAUUUGACGAAGAAGCAAAUCAUCAUCAGAGGAAAUAAAAGUUUCAG